This 61-nucleotide small nucleolar RNA is filed under the name Oncorhynchus mykiss (rainbow trout). RNAcentral's name for it is "Small nucleolar RNA SNORD58 (ENSOMYG00000041384.2)". It matches the Rfam family "Small nucleolar RNA SNORD58". Rfam says of the family: snoRNA U58 is found in introns 1, 3 and 6 of the ribosomal protein RPL17 gene in humans. U58 is a member of the C/D class of snoRNA which contain C (UGAUGA) and D (CUGA) box motifs. Most of the members of the box C/D family function in directing site-specific 2'-O-methylation of substrate RNAs. The record is from Rfam by way of RNAcentral. Lineage: Eukaryota; Metazoa; Chordata; Actinopteri; Salmoniformes; Salmonidae.
UUGCAACGAUGACCAUUUGGGACACCUUUGUAUUAACCAUGAAAAAGGACAUCUAAGCCAC